RNAcentral lists this ribosomal RNA (492 nucleotides) under uncultured bacterium. Its description in RNAcentral is "partial 16S ribosomal RNA". It matches the Rfam family "Bacterial small subunit ribosomal RNA", at positions 29 to 507 of the family's 1533-position model. The record is from RNAcentral.
AGUGAACGCUGGCGGUAGGCUUAACACAUGCAAGUCGAACGGCAGCACAGUAAGAGCUUGCUCUUACGGGUGGCGAGUGGCGGACGGGUGAGGAAUACAUCGGAAUCUACUUUUUCGUGGGGGAUAACGUAGGGAAACUUACGCUAAUACCGCAUACGACCUACGGGUGAAAGCAGGGGAUCUUCGGACCUUGCGCGAUUGAAUGAGCCGAUGUCGGAUUAGCUAGUUGGCGGGGUAAAGGCCCACCAAGGCGACGAUCCGUAGCUGGUCUGAGAGGAUGAUCAGCCACACUGGAACUGAGACACGGUCCAGACUCCUACGGGAGGCAGCAGUGGGGAAUAUUGGACAAAGGGCGCAAGCCUGAUCCAGCCAUACCGCGUGGGUGAAGAAGGCCUUCGGGUUGUAAAGCCCUUUUGUUGGGAAAGAAAAGCAGCAGGUUAAUACCCCGCUGUUCUGACGGUACCCAAAGAAUAAGCACCGGCUAACUUCGUG